GGGAGCUUGGCUCAGUUGGAAGAGCGCAGGUCUCAUAUGAAUGUUCUUCCUUCUCUAGAAAGAAAAGAAAAAAAAUAUAUGAUCUGGUUUAACAUCAGAAGUAAUCCUGAGGUCGUGAGUUCGAGCCUCACAGUUCCCA
Non-coding RNA from Cladorrhinum sp. PSN259, 139 nucleotides. The record is from the annotation of a GenBank genome assembly. Lineage: Eukaryota; Fungi; Ascomycota; Sordariomycetes; Sordariales; Podosporaceae.